Molecule: long non-coding RNA, 405 nt
Filed under: Homo sapiens (human)
Lineage: Eukaryota; Metazoa; Chordata; Mammalia; Primates; Hominidae
Description: HSALNT0358905
Source: RNAcentral
CUCAUCACACAGAAAACCCAGCUCAGAGUUGGCUUAAAUCCCCCAGUAAGGAAGAGCAGAAAGAAAUCACACAGAUCUGGGAUGGAGUACAAGAGAGAAGAGACUGAAUUGUGAUAGCUGGAACCAUGGAUGAGAGAACAGCACACACCCAUCAGAAAAUGUGCCUGGAGCACCUCCUGGGUGGCAGCCUGUUGCAGCAGCACUCAUGAGUCUGGGCACAUACAUUCUGGGAUAGGUGUCCAGGUAUAUUCUGCUAUCAAUAUUGCUAGAAAGUUACCAAAACACCCUGAGCCUCAAUUUCUUUAUUGGUUAUGUAUGAUCUCAGGAGAUGUGUACAGGUUCAAGUCGACAAGGCAUGGACCUGUGAUGGUCAAUACUGAGUGUCAACUCCAUUGGAUUGAAGGA